GUAGCUGGGACCACAGGUGCAUGCCACCAUGUUGGGCUAAUUGUUGUAUUUUUUGAAGAGACAAGGUUUCACCACAUUGCCCAGGCUAGCCUCAAAGUCCUGGGCUCAAGCCAUCCACCCACCUCAGCCUCUCAAAGUGCUGAAAGUGCUGGAAUUACAGGCAUGAGCCACCCCACCUGGCCAUCAUUACAUCUAAUCUACACUUGCGGAAUAGUAUCCUAAGAUACCUAUCUCUUGUCUUUAAAAAUCUCGAUUUCAUCCUUUACAUUGCUGCCAGAAUUGUAUUUUUAAAAGGUAAAGCUGAUUAUGUUCCCACUUUAAAUGUUCCAAUAAAUAAACCAUGCAUGUAGGAUAAAUUUCAAGCCCUUGGCAUAGCAUACUUAGUUUUCUGUAGUCUAUACUUGGUCCAAAAGGCAAUAAAUGUACCAGCCCUCUUUCCUGUGGAAAUCAGCCCUACCUCCCUGGCUACAAAUUGGUCUAACACAAAACUCAUCAUACCUUUUCAUGUUGAUGGGUCCAAGGAGUUGGUGUAUGACCCAACAUGGAUCUAUCAGAGUCCUCUCCUAAAAGUUUCAAACUCUAGUUGGGAAAAGAGUAUUCCUUUCAUCUCUGUUCAUACAGUUAAGAAACUUGAGUCCAAAACUGAGGUCUGUUUAAAAAAAUCUCUCUUCUACAUUCCUCUUGUGCAAUAUUAGAAAAAAGAGUAGAGUAAGAUACUCUACAGAUAAGAGUAAAAAUGAGAAGUGGAUACCAUCCUGCCAUUUAAGUCCCUGGCCACAGCUGUCCCUAAGCCAGUUUCCAUUUACCCUAACCCACUCUGGUUUUCCAUCUUGUGAUAUGAUCCAGUGAAUUUCCUGUUUUAGCUUAGACUACUGUAUUACGGUAUUGCCACUGUAACUAAAAAAAUUUCAAUUAAUGCAAAUUUACAUUUCUCUCUCUCCCUUUAGUUCUUUCUGUCACCUCUCUGAAGACCUGGUUCAUAUCUGCAGCUGCAACUCUAUCCCUGAACUCAUCUUUGAAACUACCCAGAGAUAGACUGUCAAGAGCUUCAGAGCUUUACAACAGGAUCUUCCAAGUGCCCUGAGAGGUCAUGAUGGAGCCAAUAGAAAUAAAUCAUACAAAACAAAGCCAGAACCUGGUGGGAGGGAUGCUUACAAAACAACAUAAACGAGAAGUUGUCUGAAAAAAAAUUGUAUGGAAGGAAGAAGAGAUGAGAUAAGGGAAAUGAACUCAUAAUAGCCCCAGUUAAAAUACUUACAGUAAAAUAUCAUUAGUACUACUUGAUGUUGGUGAAAGGCUCUAGACUCAAGUCAGAAGGCCCAAUUUGUUGCUGUGAUUUCUUGAACAAAUUAUGUAAUUGUGUUGAGAUUCAGUUUUCUUUUCUAUCAUUGGGUAUUAAUAACUUCUAUGUGAUGUCAGAGUUAUGAUGUGAAGUUAAAAUAACUAAUAAAUGGGUAAACCCUGAAAA
Molecule: long non-coding RNA, 1468 nt
Organism: Homo sapiens (human)
Lineage: Eukaryota; Metazoa; Chordata; Mammalia; Primates; Hominidae
Product: long intergenic non-protein coding RNA 2552
Source: Ensembl